UCGAUUGGCCACCUCUCCACCAUACCUUUCAUGCUUCUAUCUAGGCCUCGCCAUGGCUACAGUUUCCCAAUCAGGUCCCAGUGUGCAUGACGCCCGGCAUUGACACCGGGUCCUGGCGUCAUUAACGCUGGGCCCUGGUUCUGAAAACUGGAGUACAUGCAUAUGAACGCAAUCGAGUCGUAUCUUAAGUUCAGUGGGCAAUCGAGAUGUUGGGACGCCGGCCAAGGAUACCCGGCGCACCAUAACUAAUUAAGAUCAUGCAAGUCAGGACAUGAUGGACAAAGUCCCCUCCAUGCAAGCCGGCGCGGUGACAUGAGCUAGUGAAGCAAACCGCAGGGAUCCCUGCAGUGAUCAAAACGCCCACGAUGGAGGAAAAUUCUCUCUUGACCAGAAGCCGCAGUGGCAAGCGCAAAACAUUGAAGACAUCGUCAAAAAAGAAAAGACACCAUGUCCCGUGUUGCUUAUCUAAUGUCGCCUCAGAAUAGUCCCUUUCGGAUUCUUCGGCAAAUGAACGAAUACAUGUGUCCUAGACGGCUUUGUUAUUGCAGGGAGCCUUGCAAUUUCCGUUGCUAUUUUGAUGACGUCACGGCCUCACCCGUGCAAUCGAUGAAUCGCUUGGAGUAGUGUUGGUCCUUUGUGGCUUGCGAGACCAUUGCCUUGGACGUGGAGAAGCAGUUCUUUGUUGGAGGACGAGGGAAGGCAGGGCCGAUGGAAGGGGAAUGCGUUCUCCACUCAUCUAGGGCCAACAUUCCUUCAUGAAAGAAGUCCCUUACUGAAUACUAGAUGUUAAAAGAAUUGGGAAAAAUAAUUGGCACCAAAGGGGAUGUAGCUCGGGAGGUAUCCUCAGGCGCAAACAAUGGCAUGCGUCAUGCGAGGCAGAGACGCUCGCUCUGGAAGACAAUGAAUCAGCAACGUCGGCCAGAGUUCAGAGCCGUCUUUCUUCCAUCGGCAACAUGUCGCUUCGCACAGGGGAGAGGAUUGGCCAGUCACGAAACGGCAUCCUCAGAAGCGAAUUACCUGGACGCCGAGGCGAGGUCGCAGUCCAGAUAGAGUGCUUCUUGAACAGGCUCGCGCGUGAGCGGAUGCGAUCUUUGGACGAGCAUAUGCCCUCUUGCGCAGCUGAUCAAGCAGUUUAAGCUAGCUUCAAGCCUGAACAGAGACGACACAUGGUAUAUUCAGUAGUUCUACGUAGUAGAAAAUCAACGCGGCCCACUAGGCUCGGUGCGCUGCGCCGAAGGGGCGCCAGUAAGACAUGUAAUUCCAGAGGUUGGUUCCAAGUCGGUGCGUUGGCGGACCGAUUUUCUACAGAUAAUUGUUCAGGUGCUCUAGGCCAGACAGGUGCGCCCCCAUUCUGAUCCGAUCCACAUGCUAUGGAGUCUAGCUUGAACCUCUGGAGCUUGGGCACCGCGCCUGCCUGGAA
Long non-coding RNA from Triticum aestivum (bread wheat), 1420 nucleotides. RefSeq lists it as uncharacterized. The record is from RefSeq and is a predicted model, not a curated record. The transcript has 3 exons. Lineage: Eukaryota; Viridiplantae; Streptophyta; Magnoliopsida; Poales; Poaceae.